UACGAAGGGGGCUAGCGUUGCUCGGGAUCACUGGGCGUAAAGGGCGCGUAGGCGGCGUUUUAAGUCGGGGGUGAAAGCCCAGGGCUCAACCCUGGAAUUGCCUUCGAUACUGGAUGUCUUGAGUUCGGGAGAGGUGAGUGGAAUGCCGAGUGUAGAGGUGAAAUUCGUAGAUAUUCGGCGGAACACCAGUGGCGAAGGCGACUCACUGGCCCGAUACUGACGCUGAUGCGCGAAAGCGUGGGGAGCAAACAGG
Molecule: ribosomal RNA, 253 nt
Filed under: uncultured bacterium
Lineage: Bacteria
Description: partial 16S ribosomal RNA
Rfam family: Bacterial small subunit ribosomal RNA
Source: RNAcentral